Paramisgurnus dabryanus is the source of this 300-nucleotide long non-coding RNA. RefSeq lists it as uncharacterized. The record is from RefSeq and is a predicted model, not a curated record. Lineage: Eukaryota; Metazoa; Chordata; Actinopteri; Cypriniformes; Cobitidae.
CUCCAUGACGGUGAACACGGUGUCUUGAGUAUCUAGCACGACUGACAUUCAGACUUAAAGAUCUGCAAAAAAGACGCUACAGGAAUCGACAGUGGGUGACCACAGCUGUUGGAGCCUCUGGUGCAACAAUAAUGAACGAUUAAGCUCACCACAUAAUAAGAAGGUCACCUCAUUUUUAGUGGAAGCACUGGCUACAAACUUGGAAUUGAAGGCCUUGAUAAAAAUUACUUUGUGGCCUGCAAGACAUUACCAGAGCUAGCUGGUGUGGCCGCAGCACAGAGUCACCAGAGGAGGAAGAGG